Molecule: non-coding RNA, 22 nt
Filed under: Arabidopsis thaliana (thale cress)
Lineage: Eukaryota; Viridiplantae; Streptophyta; Magnoliopsida; Brassicales; Brassicaceae
Source: RNAcentral
GCAAGUAUAUAACUGGGACCGU